Molecule: transfer RNA, 75 nt
Filed under: Halichoeres hortulanus (checkerboard wrasse)
Lineage: Eukaryota; Metazoa; Chordata; Actinopteri; Labriformes; Labridae
Description: tRNA-Val
Rfam family: tRNA
About the family: Transfer RNA (tRNA) molecules are approximately 80 nucleotides in length.
Source: RNAcentral
UCAGGGUAUAGCUAAAACCCGUAUAGCAUCUCCCUUACACCGAGAAGUCAUUCGUGCAACCCGGAUUGCCCUGAA